This 447-nucleotide ribosomal RNA is filed under the name uncultured bacterium. RNAcentral's name for it is "bacterial SSU rRNA". It matches the Rfam family "Bacterial small subunit ribosomal RNA", at positions 330 to 792 of the family's 1533-position model. The record is from RNAcentral.
UCCAGACUCCUACGGGAGGCAGCAGUGGGGAAUAUUGGGCAAUGGGCGCAAGCCUGACCCAGCAACGCCGCGUGAAGGAAGAAGGCUUUCGGGUUGUAAACUUCUUUUAAGGGGGAAGAGGAGAAGACGGUACCCCUUGAAUAAGCCACGGCUAACUACGUGCCAGCAGCCGCGGUAAUACGUAGGUGGCAAGCGUUGUCCGGAUUUACUGGGUGUAAAGGGCGUGCAGCCGGGAGGACAAGUCAGAUGUGAAAUCCCGCGGCUCAACCGCGGAACUGCAUUUGAAACUGUUUUUCUUGAGUACCGGAGAGGUCAUCGGAAUUCCUUGUGUAGCGGUGAAAUGCGUAGAUAUACGGAGGAACACCAGUGGCGAAGGCGGAUUGCUGGACAGUAACUGACGCUGAGGCGCGAAAGCGUGGGGAGCAAACAGGAUUAGAUACCCCUGUA